UUCUUAAUGUCCUUUCUGUGUACAUGACAUUUCCCCAUCUUACUCCAAGGAUAGAAAACGGAUGAACCCAUCACCUAGGAACUUAUAGGGGUACCUGCUGUUUCACACAACCCCAAAGAAAUGAGAUCAAGGUCUCGAGGCACACCCCAUUUUAUUGCACUCUGUAGAUACUGCAUCUUUUAUACACUGAAGGCUCAUAGCACCCCUUCUCUUGCAGGCCCUUCGGGGCCAUUUUUCCAACAGCACUGGCUCACUUCGCAUCUCUGUGUCACAUUCUGGCCAUGCUCACAACAGUUCCAGCUUUCCCGUUGUAUCUGUCCUAGUGAUCUGUCAUCAGUGAUCUGUGAUGUUCUUAUCGUAAUUGUUUUGGGGACCCCAUGGACAGAGCCCAUGUAAGAUGAGAAACUUAAUCAGUAAAUGUUAUAUGUGCAGUCUGACUGCCGAUGAGGUAGAAACAGCAGAAGACCUAGAAUCUGAAGUGGAGCCUGAAGAUGGGACUGCACUGUGGAAAUCUCGAGAUCAAACUUCAGUGCAUGAGGAGUUGUUUCUUAUGGGUGAGCAAAGAAAGUGGUUCCUUUCUUUUCUUUUUCUUUCUCCUCCUCCUCCUCCCCCUCCUUCUCCUCCUUCUCCUCAAUCUUCUCCUUCUUCUUUGUACAGAAAAUGAUUUCCUAAGAUGGCAUCUAGUCCUGGUGAAGAUGCUGUGAGGAUUGUUGACAUGACGACAGAUUUAGACUAUCACAGCAACUGCAGUCGAUAAAGGAGCGGCAGGGGAUGAGAGGACUGACUCCAGUUUUGAAAGGAGUUCUACUGUGGUCAAAAUGCGGUCGAACACUGUCGCAGGCUGUAGGGAAGUCGUUCGUGAAAGGAAGAGUCCACUCAUGUGGCAACUUCAUCGUUUUAUUUUAAGACAUUGCUGCCCCAACCUUCAGCAACCGCCACCGUGAUCAGCCAGUGUCAUCAGCACGGAGGCAAGCCCAACCACCAGCAAAAAGGUUACGACUUGCUGAAAGUUCAUACAACACAGACUUUCAGCAACGACAUCCUGCCAUGAGCUGAAAAUCUGGUUGGCACUCCUGAGGACAUGUCAGCUUGCAGCUUCAUUCCCUUGAAGGCAUCCACAAUUUUUUAUGAAACACAAAAAUUUAAAAAGACAAGAUUCCAACCUUUUUCUCCUCCACCAGAAAACAGAGCUUCCUCCCCACCUGGUUGUAUCGGGCAUCCUUUGCAACAGUAACGCGGACGGGCGGACCUCAGGGGCCUCUCUUUCCCACAGGCUAAGCUACGCUUAGGACAGAGGUGGAGUGGAAGAACACAGCAGAAACACGCCUGCACGUCUUUUCAAGCCUCCGCAUGCAUCAGGUUUGCUAACAUCCCACUGGUCAAAGCAGCCCCAUGGCUGAGUGCGAAGUCAAAGCAGGAGGGCUCCACCGGUAACAUCAACAGAAGAAGGCAAGAAUUCGGGCCACCCACGUCAUCCGCAACCACAGGGGUCCUGGUCACAUUAUAGAGCCAGUGCUGGUACUUUCUGAACCCCCAGUCGGGUUUCACGAGGACUUUUAUGCUCUCCCAAGUGAGAAACCACAUCCUGGGAAGAGUGGCCUAUAGGGCAAAAGGUGGUCAUUUCUCAGACAUUCUGAUGGUGAGUUCCAGGUAACCCAAGAAUCACCUGGAAGAAGAGUUAUACACUAUUCCGAAAAUCAGGAGGGACAGUCACCAACAAAUCAAGUACCAAAGCACCUCUGAACAAUGGUUGAACGUUGCAGACAAAGCUAGAAUAGACUCUUAUUUACUGCCUAUAAACACCUAACAAGAGUGAUUGCAACAAGUGCAAACAUUUAGUCAGCACUUACUGUGUUUGGGCUUCGGGCUGAGUACUGUCUCUGAGUUAUUCCUCUUAAUUUUGAUAACAAACCAGUGCAGUAGAUAUUAGGACGAUGAUGCCUAUUUUCCAGAUGUGCAAACUAAGGCCAGGGGUUGAACAACUGGCCAAGAACCCACAGAGUAAAAGGAAGACCCAGAACUAGAACCCAGGCCCACAGGGUUCUACAGAUGGUGUUUCUUACCACUACCCUAGACCAUCCCUGUCUUCAUUCACGAAGCAAUCUGCAAAGCAUGUCAAAGAAACCAAGAAUGCUGUUUGUCAGCCGACUGCCGUGAUGGGCACAGUUCAAACAGCUGAGAUUGGGGUUCUUCAAUUAAAUCGCCAUCGCGUCAAGGAAGCCUUGAUAAGCAUGAAAGACUGCCCUCUGCUGUGGGUUUUCAUUAGUGCACCAAGGCUUGGCAUGGGAGCUGCUGGGCCGGCAGUGCACCAAAGUCCAGGAAUCCUGAAGGGCCUAUGGCACUGGAAGACAUGGACUUCUUGAAUUCUGUCCCCCCAAAAUGGGAAGAACAACCCUACGGGGUUCUCAGCCAAAUGAAGAAUUCUAGAGGAGAGGCUGGGACUGGGAGGGGAGGUAUUGCUACAAAAUGAUACGCUCGUAUCCCUGCCUACCCAACCUUGCAUUCAGUGAAGAGCCUGCAGGAAGAAUAAAGGCUGGUUCACUUAGUGUCCCUAUUCCUUUCAGAUGGGCAACAAAUUAUUAACAAAACUCCAAAGUCAUGAGCUGAAGGAAUCAGCAAGAGGCAGAUGAAAGGUAAGUCGGUUCCUCUUUCCACAGUUAAAAUGCUGGGCAAACUCCAAGAGAUCACUGUGAUGAUUACCAGUCUCUGCAGGUACUGGGGACAGGAGGAGGACUGUACACUGCAU
This is a long non-coding RNA of Ailuropoda melanoleuca (giant panda), 2746 nucleotides long. RefSeq lists it as uncharacterized. The transcript has 5 exons. NCBI's taxonomy places the organism in Eukaryota, Metazoa, Chordata, Mammalia, Carnivora, Ursidae. The record is from RefSeq and is a predicted model, not a curated record.